Molecule: transfer RNA, 58 nt
Filed under: Mesocricetus auratus (golden hamster)
Lineage: Eukaryota; Metazoa; Chordata; Mammalia; Rodentia; Cricetidae
Source: Rfam by way of RNAcentral
GUGACUCAGUGGUAGGGUACAGGUUUGGUACACCAGAGGCUCUGGGUUCCAUCCCAGC